GGCAGGCAUGGUGGCAAACACCUGUAGUCUCAGCUACUCGGGAGCCUGAAGCAGGAGGAUCGCUUGAGGCCAGGCGUUCUGGGCCAUAGUGUGCCUUCACACUAAGUUCAGCAUCAAUAUGGUGACCUCCUGGGAGCGGGGCACCACCAGACUGGCUAAGGAAGGGUGAACUGGCCCAGGUCGGAAAUGGAGCAAGUCAUAAGUAACUCCCGUGCUGAUCAGUAGUGGGAUCGUGCCUGUGAAUAGCUACUGCAUUCCAGCCUGGGCAACAUAGUGAGACCUCAUCUCU
This 289-nucleotide signal recognition particle RNA is filed under the name Rhinopithecus roxellana (golden snub-nosed monkey). RNAcentral's name for it is "Metazoan signal recognition particle RNA (ENSRROG00000014801.1)". It matches the Rfam family "Metazoan signal recognition particle RNA". From Rfam's summary of the family: The signal recognition particle (SRP) is a universally conserved ribonucleoprotein. It is involved in the co-translational targeting of proteins to membranes. Lineage: Eukaryota; Metazoa; Chordata; Mammalia; Primates; Cercopithecidae. The record is from RNAcentral.